UCUCCUCCCCGUCUGCAGCUCUCAGCUUUUUCUUCUGAAUGCCUCGAUUUGUGCUUGGAGUGAGGGCUCCAGUGCAGGCUGCAUGAGUAUUUGCUCUUUGGAGUCUCUGUGAGAUGGACCUGGGAGGGACAUUCCAGUUUUACAGGCGCAGAAAAGAUGCCUUUGACUUUUACAACUCCCAAAGGGCAGGAGAAAAAAAAAUGCAGUCAGAGGAGCCUAAGCCCUGAAUUGUGGACAGACUGUGUGCAGACUGAUUAUUAGAAACCCACGUGUGGCUGCUAUGUUUGGAAUUGCGUUUUAGCUGAGUGCCCUGGACUGUCACAUCCCUCAGUGAUUUCACAGAUGUGCCCACCAUGGAAGAAUGGCUGAAUGACAUGAUUGGAAUGGAACGUAGCGGUCAUCUUAUCUGACCACACAAAUACCUGCCAGGAGAGGAGUGCCUCACUUCCUCGUGAUCGUUUUGAAGGCUUUCUGAGAAGGUGAUAAUAUUGUCCAGUGACCUCACAAUCACAAGGUGUACUGUGGUGACUGCAAACCCAGUGUGUCUCAUUCAGCGGGGUCACAGAAGAAGGAAAAAGAAAGAUGAGGAAGGAAAUGGGAACUGGUAGACCUGGGACCAAGGACUCUGACAGUUAAAUGCUGUGAGAUGGGAGCAGGGAUUUAUGUGCCUGGCAGACACAAAGGGAUAAUACCUACCGGGGAAAGCUGGAAGCAGGUCUCCCUGGGAGCCAGGUCAGAGUUCCUGCUAAAGUGACUUUGGCCUGUAUACCUCUGGUGGCCUUGAACUACCACAGCAUACUUCCAUACACAGAUUCUGUUUGUCCAGAGCAGCCCUGACUCUUGCCCAAGAAUAACACCUGGGUUCUUGGGCUCCACCCCUCUUCUGCCUUCUCUUCCUCCAUCUUUCCAGAGCCUGGCCUGCCUGGUGUGACUUCCUGGGUAGCUUCGGAGCCUGCACGUGUAGACAUCUCCCUGGAAUCUCCUGGGCAAUGUUGACCAUCUCCACCUCUGCGCCCUGUCCAUCUCUUCACUCCAGUGUGUGCACACGAUCCCAGCCAACUGCCAGAAGAUAGCCAUCUAUAAUCCAGGACCAGAAACCAACCAUGCUGGCACCUUGCUCUUGGAAUUCCUAGCCUCCAAAACUGUGAGAGGCUCUGCAAGCCCCUACGGUCCUGAAGAUGCUGGAAACUGGACUGGAUAUCACUUGACCUCAGAGUGACCCCUGGAAAUUACAUUUCUGAAAUAAAUCCUGCCGACCAAGGAGCCAAGGGCACGGACACAAAACCUCGUGGAUGACAGAUUAUAAUGGGCUGGCCUCCAGAACCUCCUGCAGGAACGUGUAAACAUGUGCAUAGACGAUGAUAUUUGAUUCAGUUCCUAGAGGAGAUGGAUUAGCUGGGGUGGGUCCUAAAGUGUCAUUCUUGGCGACCCGCCACGGGCUUCCCGUCAGUGUGGAAAGAGCCUGGUGUGAGCACAGAAGGACCCCACCAUGGAGCCAUGGUCCCUUCUCACCAGCCUCCCAUGGCAGAGAUUUCACAAAGGCUUCAGUGGAAGUUACUGCUCCUAUAAAUGAGCAAGUCACCCCAAAGUUAGCUGAACUUGUAGGAGGAUGUGCCAUCCCAUUGUGGCAUCUUUCCUGUGAGUGACCCAUGAAAUGCACUGUGACUUAGGGAGGAUCACUUAGAGGGCUCCGCCUUAAUAGCUGCCUGAGUGGACACACACACACACACCCCACAAAAUCUGGCAGGUAGUGUCUGCAGCCUGCUGACCUUCUGAAAUCCAUCAUCUCAGACUCGGGGGCCAUGCAGAAGCUCAUCUUAACAGGAAUCUGUGUUCUACUGGUGGAAGAAGAUGAUUCUCAUGGGGCAUAUGUAUUCCUCCCUAGUGGUCUCAUGAGCAGACAGGGUGAGGGCUUGUCUCCACCUCACAUGAGGAUUCAUGUUUUCGCUAAAGGGGAAAACAUCAGAGGCAUCUUCCUCUCUCUCGGUCAGCAGCUGCUCAAGGAGACCCCGGCUUUUCCCCGAUGCAGAGCAGUCUUCUCUCCAUGCAGACCUGGUAGCAGGUGGAAGAAAGAGCUCACAGGAGGCUGAAGGGAGGAAGGAGUUGGCUCUCUUAGCAAAUAUCCUAGAUGGUACCCACGUGCUGAGAGGACAGAGAAUUGAGUGCUGGGCUGAGAGCCCUGACAGAGGUCCCAGGACGGGCUGCUCCCUCCUUUUACCUGCACUGUGAAGCUGACCUGAAGGCCACACAUGACUUGUGAAAGUAUUUGGUAACUAAAAUCAUACCAUUUGCAGCAACAUGGAUGACCCAGAAACGAUCAGACUAAGUGA
Sus scrofa (pig) is the source of this 2330-nucleotide non-coding RNA. Lineage: Eukaryota; Metazoa; Chordata; Mammalia; Artiodactyla; Suidae. The record is from RefSeq and is a predicted model, not a curated record.